GAUGAACGCUGGAGGCGUGCCUAAUACAUGCAAGUCGAGCGAACGGACGAGAAGCUUGCUUCUCUGAUGUUAGCGGCGGACGGGUGAGUAACACGUGGAUAACCUACCUAUAAGACUGGGAUAACUUCGGGAAACCGGAGCUAAUACCGGAUAAUAUUUUGAACCGCAUGGUUCAAAAGUGAAAGACGGUCUUGCUGUCACUUAUAGAUGGAUCCGCGCUGCAUUAGCUAGUUGGUAAGGUAACGGCUUACCAAGGCAACGAUGCAUAGCCGACCUGAGAGGGUGAUCGGCCACACUGGAACUGAGACACGGUCCAGACUCCUACGGGAGGCAGCAGUAGGGAAUCUUCCGCAAUGGGCGAAAGCCUGACGGAGCAACGCCGCGUGAGUGAUGAAGGUCUUCGGAUCGUAAAACUCUGUUAUUAGGGAAGAACAUAUGUGUAAGUAACUGUGCACAUCUUGACGGUACCUAAUCAGAAAGCCACGGCUAACUACGUG
RNAcentral lists this ribosomal RNA (497 nucleotides) under uncultured bacterium. Its description in RNAcentral is "partial 16S ribosomal RNA". It matches the Rfam family "Bacterial small subunit ribosomal RNA", at positions 28 to 507 of the family's 1533-position model. The record is from RNAcentral.